This 354-nucleotide long non-coding RNA is filed under the name Elaeis guineensis (African oil palm). RNAcentral's name for it is "long non-coding RNA (EGUI_LNC080983)". Lineage: Eukaryota; Viridiplantae; Streptophyta; Magnoliopsida; Arecales; Arecaceae. The record is from RNAcentral.
CGACUGUUGCAGCUGGUCAACCAGGAUGACCUUGUCAGCUUCAACGGCCGUGACCUUGUCUCUCCAAGCCGCACGCAUGUCGCCGAACUUCCAGUAUCCGACCUCUAGCUCGGAUAUGUUGUAGACCAACUGCAGAAAGCAAAACUGACCGUCAGGAGACCGGACUCACGGAAACAAUAUUAAAAAUGCAGAAGAGAGAAACUUACCCGAAUCAUCAUCGGGUAGAACGAAGAUAGCAUGUCGGAGACACACUGGUUCUUCAUCGCCUCGAUGUUGGCGGGAAGGAGGAGUGCUUGGCACAGCCUCCUGGCCAAGUCAUGGUUGGCUAGGCUCGAUGCACCUUCGAGGAGUGGG